AGUGAGAGGAAGGCUGGAGCAGAGGAAGCGAGAACCCUCCAGAGAUGCGGAGCUGGACAGUUUUGCAGCUGUGCUGGUACCUGGAGCCUGGGCAGGCUGGGAGUCCUGCUUAACCCCACAGCCUGCAUGCUGGCACCAAGUGGGGGUCAAACCUAGGGCCUUCUGCUCCCAGGACAUAAGUCCCCCUCACUAUUCGGAUCUGCUGGAAGAACCAGAAUCCCAGCAGAAGUGCUGAGUCAUGUGGGGGAGUUUGCUGGCAUAACUUCUCCCCACCUGCACCCAAGGCAUUGUUGAGAAAAGAAAGUCUGCUGCCACCUAAGAGACCCAGAAUCAGAACAACGGUGUGAUCUGAACAAGAUGAAGGGGUGGUUUCAUGAUAAGAAUAAACUACAAGCUUCUUCUGCUCCUUCUAGAGGCCUGAUAUCUCCAAGGUAACUCCAGAAACUCCAAGAGGAGAUGAAGAGAAUCCAGGAAGUCACCAGCUGUGGUGAACAUUGUGCCUAACUUGACACCCUUUGUUUUGCCCAUUUCUGCUGCCACUCUAAGAAAAGCCACUAUGGGGUGAACUCCUGGGCUCCCAGGGCUGCUCCACGUCAACACCAAAUCUAGAAACCUCUGGUACUGGAUUUAACUACCCCUGGGGUUGCCAUGAAGAUGAAGUUCCAGGAUCCUGGAAGGCUGAGGGUGGAAACCAAGUUAGUGAUGAGGCAGGAGGAGAAGAUGGGGUGAGCUCUCUUGUAAAACAGAGCAGGGAGCUGGAUCUACUGUUUCAGAGUGAGCAGGCGAUGGCAAGCAGGAAGACACACUGUGUCGCCGGCUCACACCCACUCCUGCUGCCUGCUGCCUGCUGAUGGCCACGCCUCCUGAAAAGGCUGGAUUCAGGGUGGCCGCUCAACUUCGCAGCACCUGCUAUCUCCACUCUGUGCCCACUCCUUCGCCUGCCACGUCUCCUACAGACACUGAAAGGGCCCUAUCAAUUUAUUUGGUUAAGAUCCAUUUCAAUGCUCAGAACCCUAAUGUGGUCUGCAGAGCAUGAAUCCAGAUGGCCUCGGGUUGCCUUGCACCAGUCCUGUACUGUGCUGCUCUCCCAGUCUGUUUUGACUCCUCAACCUAAGGCAGGAAUCUUCCAAAGACCUGGAUCCUCCUACUUAGAGAACAAGGAGGGCAGGUGAUGAGAAUAAGGGGGCUAUCAAUGGAAAAGCAGAGCAACAAGAUCUUACAAAUACAGGGAGAAUGUCCACUGAGGUUGCAGGGUUUUGCAGGGUUUUGCAGGGAUCAAGGGAGGGGCACAGGUGGGUAGGUAGAAAGUUCCAGUCCCUAGGAAAUUAGAAAACUCUCCAUGUAUCGUCUCCGCACUAACAGCACCAAGCAGCAGCCCAUAGCCACCAACACCGGCUUCUGCUUACUGGUCAAGAGGAAGACAUCCCAGGGAGAUUUGAGAUUCGUGACAUAGCAGUUUGUGACUAUCAGGGUGCUGACCUCUCUGAGAAGCACAAGGUGACACACCUCAACAUCCAGACACAUCUACAUGGUUUCCAGAGGGCAUCUCUAUGACAGGGGCCCUCCAAUGGCAGCAGGAGGCCCCUGCAUAUGGUUCAGUGAACCAGAUUCCUCUUGCAGGGCACAAAUGGAAUGUGAGGCAAUGCCACCAUUUAGGGGCCAGCACAGAGACUCAGGGAACAAGAAGCUUAGAGCAAAGCAAGUCACAUGAUGUUAAGGCUAUGUGACUACUACAGCCUGCACAAGGAGAUGUUGUCACGCACUCCUCAAGACUCCAGAGAAGCCAAAAUAAAGAAAAGAGCCCCUGGCAAACAAAAUGAUGCCUGAAACCCACAUACUAAGCUUCUGCCUGUCACCUAUGGGAAAGCCCUUGGCCCUGCCCCGUGGCCCAGCCACUGAAAGCCUAUUUACUUUUAUUUUAGAAACAAACUCGUUUAUUUAAUUUCUCAUCCCAGAGGAGUUGAAAAGGGCACUGGGAUUAAUAGUGGCAGGUUCCUAAAAGACUUCCAGAAGUGACAACUAGCAGCCACGAAUUAGACCAGGGAUGCACACAUUUUUUCUAUAAAGGGUCAGACAGUCAAUAAUUUUAGCUUUGCGACUACUCUACUCUGCUCUGUAGCGUGAAAGCGGCCCCUGAUGAUAUGUAAAUGAGUGGGUAUGGCUAGGUGCCAGUGAAACUUUAUUUACCAAAACGGACGACG
This is a long non-coding RNA of Homo sapiens (human), 2201 nucleotides long. The record is from Ensembl. NCBI's taxonomy places the organism in Eukaryota, Metazoa, Chordata, Mammalia, Primates, Hominidae.